Molecule: ribosomal RNA, 500 nt
Filed under: uncultured bacterium
Lineage: Bacteria
Description: partial 16S ribosomal RNA
Rfam family: Bacterial small subunit ribosomal RNA
Source: RNAcentral
AUUGAACGCUGGCGGAAUGCUUUACACAUGCAAGUCGAACGGCAGCACGGGGGCAACCCUGGUGGCGAGUGGCGAACGGGUGAGUAAUACAUCGGAACGUGCCCAGUCGUGGGGGAUAACGUAGCGAAAGUUACGCUAAUACCGCAUACGAUCUACGGAUGAAAGCGGGGGACCGUAAGGCCUCGCGCGAUUGGAGCGGCCGAUGUCAGAUUAGGUAGUUGGUGAGGUAAAGGCUCACCAAGCCGACGAUCUGUAGCUGGUCUGAGAGGACGACCAGCCACACUGGGACUGGGACACGGCCCAGACUCCUACGGGAGGCAGCAGUGGGGAAUUUUGGACAAUGGGCGCAAGCCUGAGCCAGCCAUUCCGCGUGCAGGACGAAGGCCUUCGGGUUGUAAACUGCUUUUGUACGGAACGAAAGGGCUCUGGUUAAUACCUGGGGCUCAUGACGGUACCGUAAGAAUAAGCACCGGCUAACUACGUGCCAGCCGCCGCGGUAA